RNAcentral lists this long non-coding RNA (731 nucleotides) under Homo sapiens (human). Its description in RNAcentral is "long non-coding RNA NONHSAT188620.1". Lineage: Eukaryota; Metazoa; Chordata; Mammalia; Primates; Hominidae. The record is from RNAcentral.
CGAGACUCCCAGGAUGAAGUCUGGCUCUGUUGCCCAAGCUGGAGUGUGUUGGCACCAUCUUGGUUCACUGCAACUUCCACCUCCCAGGCUCCAGUGAUUCUCCUGCCUCAGCCUCAAGGGUAGCUGAGAUUACAGGCUGGAGUGCAGUGGCAUGAUCUCACCUCACUGAGAACCUCCACCUCCAGGGUUCAAGUGAUUCUGCUACCUCAACCUCCCAAAUAGCUGGGACUACAGGGUCUCAUUCUGUCACCCAGGUUGGAGUGCAGUGGCAACAUCAUAGCUCACUGCAGCCUUGAACCCCUGGGCUCAAGUGAUCCUCCUGCUUCAGCCUCCUGAGUAGCUGGGGCUACAGGCACUUUCCCUACAUUUUCAAAGGCCUGCAUCAUCACAUCUGCCACAGCAUUCUCUAUCAUUGAGGCAUUUUCUCAGGAAAUCACCUGUGAAAUAUUUUGCAGCUAACCACCUACCUGUGCCCCACCAGCCAACAUGCUUUACUCCUGCCAGGCAGGUUCUCUGUAGCCCUCUGGAUUCUGUCUGCCUCUGUUAUAUCUUCACGAACAAGUUAUGCAGCCUCAACUAAAGCUUGUAACAAAGCAAAGUUACUCUCCUGAGUGUGUCCUCUGAUGGAUGGUGAGAUAUAACUUCAAGAUGAAGCCUCACCCACACUCCCUGUACAAAAACGCUUCUCACUGAAAGGAAAAUAAAAACGUUGGAACCCAAACCACUCUGCC